Non-coding RNA from Chanos chanos (milkfish), 345 nucleotides. Lineage: Eukaryota; Metazoa; Chordata; Actinopteri; Gonorynchiformes; Chanidae. The record is from the annotation of a RefSeq genome assembly.
AUGUCCCCUCUACCACUGUUACUGCUGCUGGAAGCUGCAUCUUAUGUAAUGGGUCAGACACUGACUGAGUCUGAAGCAGUGAUGAUUAAUCCUGGUGGAUCUCAUAAACUGACCUGUACAGCCUCUGGGUUUAGCUUUGGGAGCUACAGCAUGCACUGGAUCAGACAGGCUCCUGGAAAAGGACUGGAAUGGGUGUCAGCUAUUAGCUAUGACAGUAGUGGCAAAUAUUACUUCAGUGGUGUUCAGGGAAGGUUCACCAUCUCCAGAGACAACAGUAUGAAUCAGCUAUAUCUACAGAUGAACAGCCUGAAGACUGAAGACACAGCUGUGUAUUACUGUGCCAGA